Molecule: ribosomal RNA, 465 nt
Filed under: uncultured bacterium
Lineage: Bacteria
Description: bacterial SSU rRNA
Rfam family: Bacterial small subunit ribosomal RNA
Source: RNAcentral
AUACGGGAGGCAGCAGUGGGGAAUUUUGGACAAUGGACGCAAGUCUGAUCCAGCCAUUCCGCGUGCAGGACGAAGGCCUUCGGGUUGUAAACUGCUUUUGUACAGAACGAAAAAGUCUCUAUUAAUACUAGGGGUUCAUGACGGUACUGUAAGAAUAAGCACCGGCUAACUACGUGCCAGCAGCCGCGGUAAUACGUAGGGUGCAAGCGUUAAUCGGAAUUACUGGGCGUAAAGCGUGCGCAGGCGGUUAUAUAAGACAGAUGUGAAAUCCCCGGGCUCAACCUGGGAGCUGCAUUUGUGACUGUAUAGCUGGAGUGCGGCAGAGGGGGAUGGAAUUCCGCGUGUAGCAGUGAAAUGCGUAGAUAUGCGGAGGAACACCGAUGGCGAAGGCAAUCCCCUGGGCCUGCACUGACGCUCAUGCACGAAAGCGUGGGGAGCAAACAGGAUUAGAUACCCGUGUAGUCA